AAUUUCCACACACUUGUGAAUCGUUGGAGCAUGGAAGGAGAGACUCUCUCGAGUCUCUGUGAAAAUGCUCUGGCACCCAUUUAUUAUUACAAACUCUGAGUUAAUGGAUGUAGUUGUAAACUUGUCUUUUGACAGAAACAAAAAUACAACUUUCAACAACGGAUCUCUUGGUUCUCCCAUCGAUGAAGAACGCAGCGAAACGCGAUAGUUAAUGUGAAUUGCAGAAUUCAGUGAAUCAUCGAGUCUUUGAACGCAUCUUGCGCUCCUUGGUAUUCCGAGGAGCAUGCCUGUUUGAGUGUCAUGAAUCCCUCAGCCCCCAAUGCUUUUCGUUAAGUGUUGGCUUGGGUCUGGAUUUGGGCGAUUGCCAGAGAGCUUUUUCAAGUUCCUGGCUCGCCUCAAAGAGAUUAGCUGGACCCCAUUCCGAGCUGGUUCAACUCGACGUGAUAAUUUCAUUCGUCGAGG
Molecule: ribosomal RNA, 462 nt
Filed under: Tilletiopsis sp. B-TB2005
Lineage: Eukaryota; Fungi; Basidiomycota; Exobasidiomycetes; Entylomatales
Description: partial contains internal transcribed spacer 1, 5.8S ribosomal RNA and internal transcribed spacer 2
Rfam family: 5.8S ribosomal RNA (bases 148-301)
Source: RNAcentral